GGCCCUUUUCCUGGAAAUCAGGCCAUCCAGGGGCAGGCCUCGAGGCAGCCCUGGGAGCUGAAGUUGGCCAUCUUGCAUCACCGCCGAAAGUCAUUGUGAAAGGCCAGGCCUUUUAGGAAAGAGACGAGGCCACCGGGGCUGGCAUGGAGAUCCCCCGAUGCCAGCAGGGCCCCUCCUCCAGGGAGCCCUCCUGCACUAUACUCCUUGGAAGGCCGCCAGGAUUGGGGUCCUUCUUCCUGGGGUCCUUCCUCCUCCAGCUCGGGUAGGAGGCCAGGCUCGCCGAGCACCCCUCACGGCUCAUGUUUCCCACCUUCCCCAUCGUCCAAACAGAAAGAUGAAAAAGGAGUGGAGGGCCGUAAAAUCCCCACUUUCUGCAUCUAAGCUCUCUGGCCUGGCAGCUGGUCCUUCCUCAUAUCUGACUUAAAUACACCCAGGUGUAUUUCGGCUGACCCACACUGGGAGUAAGUCAUAGACACGAUGCUUAGUGCGGGGCUCCCUGCUUCACCACUGGCUGGCACGUGGCUGGAUCUCUGUGCCUCCAAGUCCUCACUCGAGAAACGGGGAUAAUUAAGGGCUUCCGGUGUCAUGAGCUGGUCUGAUGAAGUCAGUUACUGAACACAAAGCUCUUAGAACAGCGCCUGGCACCUGGAGAAAUUGACCAAAGACAGCCGUCUACCCAAACGCGUUGAACGUAGGAUCGAGAAGAAAGAGCUGAACUCCCACGCUCACAACCCGUUAUCCAUGAUGGCCAAAGGGUGGCAGCCACUCAAUUGUCCACGGAUGGACAAAACGAUAAACCAUGAAACAGUCAAGCUUAAAAAGGAAGGACAUUCUGGAGUUCCCGUCGUGGUGCAGUGGUUAACGAAUCCGACCAGGAACCAUGAGGUUGCGGGUUUGAUCCCUGGCCUCGCUCAGUGGGUUGACGAUUCAGCGUUGCUGUGAGCUGUGGUGUAGGUUGCAGACGCGGCUCGGAUCCUGCGUUGCUGUGGCUCUGGUGUGGGCUGGUGGCUACGGCUCCGCCUGGACCCCUAGCCUGGGAACCUCCAUAUGCUGUGGGAGCGGCCCAAGAAAUGGCAAAAAGACCAAAAAAAAAAAAAAAAAAAAAAAAGGAAGGACAUUCUGACACGUGCCACAACAGGGAUGAGGCCUGAGGACCUUAAGUGACAUAAGACCGUCACAAAAGGAAAAACACAGUUAUGAAUCCACUUAUAUGAGCUACUUAGAGUAGUGAAAUUCAUAGAGAUGCAAGGUAGAAUGGCAGGUGCCAGGCCUGUGGGGAGGUGAGAAUGGGAAGUUCCUGUGGGUUUUUUUUUUUUUCCUGCUUUUUAGAGCUGCAUCUGUGGCAUACGGAGGUUCCCAGGCUAGGGGAUGAAUCAGAGCUUCAACCGCUGGCCUACACCACAGCCACAGCAACACCAGAUCCA
RNAcentral lists this long non-coding RNA (1424 nucleotides) under Sus scrofa (pig). RNAcentral describes it as "lncRNA (ENSSSCG00025073726.1)". Lineage: Eukaryota; Metazoa; Chordata; Mammalia; Artiodactyla; Suidae. The record is from RNAcentral.